CACCAGGCGCGAAAACUUUACAAUGCUGGCAACAGCGAUAAGGGGACCUCGAGUGCCAGGAUACAAUCCUGGCUGUCGUAAUGCCUAAAAAGCAUUGCAUAGCAAGGGCCGGGCAAGACCGGUGCCAGCCGCCGCGGUAACACCGGCGGCUCGAGUGGUAACCGCUAUUAUUGGGUCUAAAGGGUCUGUAGCCGGCUGACUAAGUCUCUUGGGAAAUCUGGCAGCUCGACUGUCAGGCUUUCAGGAGAUACUGAUCGGCUCGAGACCGGGAGAGGUGAGAGGUACCUCAGGGGUAGGGGUGAAAUCUUGUAAUCCUUGAGGGACCACCAGUGGCGAAGGCGUCUCACCAGAACGGAUCUGACGGCAAGGGACGAAAGCUAGGGGCACGAACCGGAUUAGAUACCCGGGUAGUCCUAGCCGUAAACGAUACUCGCUAGGUGUCGGCCACGGUGCGACCGUGGUCGGUGCCGUAGGGAAGCCGUGAAGCGAGCCACCUGGGAAGUACGGCCGCAAGGCUGAAACUUAAAGGAAUUGGCGGGGGAGCACAAGGGCGAUUCGCG
RNAcentral lists this ribosomal RNA (560 nucleotides) under uncultured archaeon. RNAcentral describes it as "bacterial SSU rRNA". It matches the Rfam family "Archaeal small subunit ribosomal RNA", at positions 333 to 897 of the family's 1478-position model. The record is from RNAcentral.